RNAcentral lists this ribosomal RNA (402 nucleotides) under uncultured prokaryote. RNAcentral describes it as "bacterial SSU rRNA". It matches the Rfam family "Bacterial small subunit ribosomal RNA", at positions 355 to 774 of the family's 1533-position model. The record is from RNAcentral.
UGGGGAAUCUUAGACAAUGGGCGCAAGCCUGAUCUAGCCAUGCCGCGUGAGCGAUGAAGGCCUUAGGGUUGUAAAGCUCUUUCGUGGGGGAAGAUAAUGACUGUACCCCAAGAAGAAGCCCCGGCUAACUCCGUGCCAGCAGCCGCGGUAAUACGGAGGGGGCUAGCGUUGUUCGGAAUUACUGGGCGUAAAGCGCACGUAGGCGGAACAGAAAGUCAGAGGUGAAAUCCCAGGGCUCAACCUUGGAACUGCCUUUGAAACUCCUGAUCUUGAGGUCGAGAGAGGUGAGUGGAAUUCCGAGUGUAGAGGUGAAAUUCGUAGAUAUUCGGAGGAACACCAGUGGCGAAGGCGGCUCACUGGCUCGAUACUGACGCUGAGGUGCGAAAGCGUGGGGAGCAAACA